AGUGGCGAACGGGUGAGUAACACGUGGGCAAUCUGCCCUGCACUUCGGGACAAGCCCUGGAAACGGGGUCUAAUACCGGAUACGACCAUCGGGUGCAUGCCUGGUGGUGGAAAGCUCCGGCGGUGCGGGAUGAGCCCGCGGCCUAUCAGCUUGUUGGUGGGGUGAUGGCCUACCAAGGCGACGACGGGUAGCCGGCCUGAGAGGGCGACCGGCCACACUGGGACUGAGACACGGCCCAGACUCCUACGGGAGGCAGCAGUGGGGAAUAUUGCACAAUGGGCGAAAGCCUGAUGCAGCGACGCCGCGUGAGGGAUGACGGCCUUCGGGUUGUAAACCUCUUUCAGCAGGGAAGAAGCCUUUAAAAGUGACGGUACCUGCAGAAGAAGCACCGGCUAACUACGUGCCAGCAGCCGCGGUAAUACGUAGGGUGCGAGCGUUGUCCGGAAUUAUUGGGCGUAAAGAGCUCGUAGGCGGCUUGUCGCGUCGGAUGUGAAAGCCCGGGGCUUAACCCUGGGUCUGCAUUCGAUACGGGCAGGCUAGAGUUCGGUAGGGGAGAUCGGAAUUCCUGGUGUAGCGGUGAAAUGCGCAGAUAUCAGGAGGAACACCGGUGGCGAAGGCGGAUCUCUGGGCCGAUACUGACGCUGAGGAGCGAAAGCAUGGGGAGCGAACAGGAUUAGAUACCCUGGUAGUCCAUGCCGU
RNAcentral lists this ribosomal RNA (699 nucleotides) under uncultured Streptomyces sp. Its description in RNAcentral is "bacterial SSU rRNA". It matches the Rfam family "Bacterial small subunit ribosomal RNA", at positions 94 to 803 of the family's 1533-position model. The record is from RNAcentral. Lineage: Bacteria; Bacillati; Actinomycetota; Actinomycetes; Kitasatosporales; Streptomycetaceae.